AGAGUUUGAUCCUGGCUCAGGAUGAACGCUGGCGGCGUGCUUAACACAUGCAAGUCGAACGGGGAUUAUUUUGACAGAGACUUCGGUUGAAGUCGUUAUAAUCCUAGUGGCGGACGGGUGAGUAACGCGUGGGUAACCUGCCUCACACUGGGGGAUAACAGUCAGAAAUGACUGCUAAUACCGCAUAAGCGCACGGGAUUGCAUGAUCCAGUGUGAAAAACUCCGGUGGUGUGAGAUGGACCCGCGUUGGAUUAGCUAGUUGGUGGGGUAACGGCUCACCAAGGCGACGAUCAGUAGCCGACCUGAGAGGGUGACCGGCCACAUUGGGACUGAGACACGGCCCAAACUCCUACGGGAGGCAGCAGUGGGGAAUAUUGCACAAUGGGCGAAAGCCUGAUGCAGCGACGCCGCGUGAAGGAUGAAGUAUUUCGGUAUGUAAACUUCUAUCAGCAGGGAAGAAAAUGACGGUACCUGACUAAGAAGCCCCGGCUAACUACGUGCCAGCAGCCGCGGUAAUACGUAGGGGGCAAGCGUUAUCCGGAUUUACUGGGUGUAAAGGGAGCGUAGACGGCAUGGCAAGUCUGAAGUGAAAGCCCGGGGCUCAACCCCCGGGACUGCUUUGGAAACUGUCAGGCUAGAGUGCUGGAGAGGUAAGUGGAAUUCCUAGUGUAGCGGUGAAAUGCGUAGAUAUUAGGAGGAACACCAGUGGCGAAGGCGGCUUACUGGACAGUAACUGACGUUGAGGCUCGAAAGCGUGGGGAGCAAACAGGAUUAGAUACCCUGGUAGUCCACGCCGUAAA
RNAcentral lists this ribosomal RNA (800 nucleotides) under uncultured bacterium. Its description in RNAcentral is "bacterial SSU rRNA". It matches the Rfam family "Bacterial small subunit ribosomal RNA", at positions 8 to 806 of the family's 1533-position model. The record is from RNAcentral.